UCAUUGCCUUUUCUUGCUCGUUGGGGUUCGCCAUUUUAUUUUUGCACCAAGUUGCUGUGACUUUGGGGUGUUAGAGGAAGUGGAAGUGGCGAUGUUUAUAAACAAGAAAAUCAAGUGGAAGUAGAAACGUUAAAGUGCCUUUAAGAUAGAUACAUGCUUCUUUCUUGACUCAAAUCGAGUCCCAAGACUUGUUGUUGGCCUCUCGACUACUGU
This is a long non-coding RNA of Arabidopsis thaliana (thale cress), 213 nucleotides long. RefSeq annotates it as other RNA. The record is from RefSeq. Lineage: Eukaryota; Viridiplantae; Streptophyta; Magnoliopsida; Brassicales; Brassicaceae. The transcript has a single exon.